CUAGUGAUUAGAGUUUGAUCAUGGCUCAGGAUGAACGCUGGCGGCGUGCUUAACACAUGCAAGUCGAACGAACCUUCGGGUUAGUGGCGGACGGGUGAGUAACGCGUGAGAAUCUGCCCUCAGGAGGGGGAUAACGGUUGGAAACGACCGCUAAUACCCCAUAUGCCUAUUGGUGAAAUGAAUUUCGCCUGAGGAUGAGCUCGCGUCUGAUUAGCUAGUUGGUGAGGUAAUGGCUCACCAAGGCUUCGAUCAGUAGCUGGUCUGAGAGGAUGAUCAGCCACACUGGGACUGAGACACGGCCCAGACUCCUACGGGAGGCAGCAGUGGGGAAUUUUCCGCAAUGGGCGAAAGCCUGACGGAGCAACGCCGCGUGAGGGAUGAAGGCCUCUGGGCUGUAAACCUCUUUUCUCAAGGAAGAAGAUAUGACGGUACUUGAGGAAUAAGCCACGGCUAAUUCCGUGCCAGCAGCCGCGGUAAUACGGGAGUGGCAAGCGUUAUCCGGAAUUAUUGGGCGUAAAGCGUCCGCAGGCGGCUUUUCAAGUCUGCUGUUAAAGCGUGGAGCUUAACUCCAUCAUGGCAGUGGAAACUGAAAGGCUUGAGUAUGGUAGGGGCAGAGGGAAUUCCCGGUGUAGCGGUGAAAUGCGUAGAUAUCGGGAAGAACACCAGUGGCGAAGGCGCUCUGCUGGGCCAUUACUGACGCUCAUGGACGAAAGCCAGGGGAGCGAAAGGGAUUAGAUACCCCUGUAGUCCUGGCCGUAAACGAUGAACACUAGGUGUCGGGGGAAUCGACCCCUUCGGUGUCGUAGCUAACGCGUUAAGUGUUCCGCCUGGGGAGUACGCACGCAAGUGUGAAACUCAAAGGAAUUGACGGGGGCCCGCACAAGCGGUGGAGUAUGUGGUUUAAUUCGAUGCAACGCGAAGAACCUUACCAGGGUUUGACAUCCUGCGAACCUCUUAGAAAUUUGAGGGUGCCUUCGGGAAUGCAGUGACAGGUGGUGCAUGGCUGUCGUCAGCUCGUGUCGUGAGAUGUUGGGUUAAGUCCCGCAACGAGCGCAACCCACGUUUUUAGUUGCCAGCAUUUAGUUGGGCACUCUAGAAAGACCGCCGGUGAUAAACCGGAGGAAGGUGUGGAUGACGUCAAGUCAUCAUGCCCCUUACACCCUGGGCUACACACGUACUACAAUGCUACGGACAAAGGGCAGCAAACUCGCGAGAGCUAGCAAAUCCCAUAAACCGUGGCUCAGUUCAGAUCGUAGGCUGCAACCCGCCUACGUGAAGUAGGAAUCGCUAGUAAUCGCAGGUCAGCAUACUGCGGUGAAUACGUUCCCAGGGCGCUUGUACACACCGCCCG
Molecule: ribosomal RNA, 1351 nt
Filed under: unidentified marine bacterioplankton
Lineage: Bacteria
Also listed under: 1 other name
Description: bacterial SSU rRNA
Rfam family: Bacterial small subunit ribosomal RNA
Source: RNAcentral